Molecule: small nuclear RNA, 104 nt
Organism: Suncus etruscus (white-toothed pygmy shrew)
Lineage: Eukaryota; Metazoa; Chordata; Mammalia; Eulipotyphla; Soricidae
Source: RefSeq, a predicted model, not a curated record
GUGCUCGCUUCGGCAGCACAUAUACUAAAAUUGGAAUGAUACAGAGAUUAGCAGGGCCCCUGCGCAAAGAUUACACUCAAAUUCAUGAAGCACUCCAAAGUAAA